Molecule: long non-coding RNA, 949 nt
Organism: Cebus imitator (Panamanian white-faced capuchin)
Lineage: Eukaryota; Metazoa; Chordata; Mammalia; Primates; Cebidae
Exons: 3
Source: RefSeq, a predicted model, not a curated record
GAAUGCAAUAGAGUUUCUGGAUGAUGAGCAGUAUCAUGAAAAGCUAUUUGAAAUUUCUGCAAAAUGAGCAUUUCUGUCUCUGGAUAAAGACAAUCAUAAUAGCCUAAGUUGAAAAUACAAAGCCUAGAAUGUAGGUACCUUUGGAUGGGGAGAGGAGAAAACACAAAGGGUGAGGGAAACCAUGACUUGAAAUAUAGACCACAAGAAUUGAGGCCAUGAGGCUACAAAUGGUCCUGCAAAUGAAACCCGGAAUGCCUUGGCUCAUGAGCUCUAUAACAGACCUCUGGAUCUACCUAAACCCCUGGAAGCCUCCCCUCUGGAGGAAACCUCAACUGCAGGGCCCCUUCUAUGCCCCAAUUCAGCAGGAAGUAGUUAGAGAGCAAUCGAUGCCCAUGUCCCAACAGCAGCUGGACUUUCCUGUUCAGAGGGGGUACUGAGGGACAGUGUUAAAGAAACUUCUCUUCCUGGGUCCACAUGGGGCAUGGUUUCAAAUGCAGGAAUUUCCUUUGAGCACCUCCUCUACACCUCCAUCUGGAGACCAGAGGGGAUUCAAAUGCAGGAAUUUCCUGGCUCCCCACCUCACUGAGCACCUCCUGCACGUGGGCCAGGUAAAAUUCUAUCUGAUCUUCCUGUGCACGGGAAAGCCAGGUGGGGGACUCUUUUGUCCCAAAUUCCCACUGAAAGCUCUGGGAGGAAGAGGCUGUGUAAUUCAGGGUUGUAGAAGAAGUAGCCAAUCCAGUAUCAGAGUCAAAGAUCAAUCACCCCAGAGGAAGUCUGAAGGAACUCCCCUCAUUGGACGAGAACAUGAAUAGGGAGGGAAUAACUCAAGGAUUAAAACUUCAGGGGCUCCUACCUGAAGGGAUUCCUUUUCUGAGUCCCCUCCCAUGACAGCGUGGGAGCUGUCUUCUUUCUCUCUCUCUGUCUAAUAAAUUACUCUUCUGCAAAACUC